UGCCAGCAGCCGCGGUAAUACGGAGGGUGCAAGCGUUAUCCGGAAUCACUGGGCUUAAAGGGUGCGUAGGCGGCACAAUCAGUCAGAGGUGAAAUAUGACGGCUCAACCGUCAAACUGCCCCUGAAACUGACAGGCUUGAGUCCGGGAGAGGUAGGUGGAAUUCCAGGUGUAGCGGUGAAAUGCGUAAAUAUCUGGAGGAACACCGGUGGCGAAGGCGGCCUACUGGCCCGGAACUGACGCUCAGGCACGAAAGCAUGGGGAGCGAACGGGAUUAGAUA
This 279-nucleotide ribosomal RNA is filed under the name uncultured bacterium. RNAcentral's name for it is "partial 16S ribosomal RNA". It matches the Rfam family "Bacterial small subunit ribosomal RNA", at positions 506 to 784 of the family's 1533-position model. The record is from RNAcentral.